This 429-nucleotide ribosomal RNA is filed under the name bacterium. Its description in RNAcentral is "partial 16S ribosomal RNA". It matches the Rfam family "Bacterial small subunit ribosomal RNA", at positions 355 to 776 of the family's 1533-position model. The record is from RNAcentral.
UAGGGAAUCUUCCACAAUGGACGCAAGUCUGAUGGAGCAACGCCGCGUGAGUGAAGAAGGUUUUCGGAUCGUAAAGCUCUGUUGUUGGUGAAGAAGGAUAGAGGCAGUAACUGGUCUUUAUUUGACGGUAAUCAACCAGAAAGUCACGGCUAACUACGUGCCAGCAGCCGCGGUAAUACGUAGGUGGCAAGCGUUGUCCGGAUUUAUUGGGCGUAAAGCGAGCGCAGGCGGAAUGAUAAGUCUGAUGUGAAAGCCCACGGCUCAACAGUGGAACUGCAUCGGAAACUGUCAGUCUUGAGUGCAGAAGAGGAGAGGGGAAUUCCAUGUGUAGCGGUGGAAUGCGUAGAUAUAUGGAAGAACACAAGUGGCGAAGGCGGCUCUCUGGUCUGCAACUGACGCUGAGGCUCGAAAGCAUGGGUAGCGAACAGG